Molecule: microRNA precursor, 264 nt
Organism: Vitis vinifera (wine grape)
Lineage: Eukaryota; Viridiplantae; Streptophyta; Magnoliopsida; Vitales; Vitaceae
Source: Rfam
GUGAUAAGAGGCCAUCAGGUGCCAAGGAGACUUGCCAUAAACCACAUUAUAGAUUCCAAGCUAAUAGUGUCGUGUUCAUUCUCAAGAAUGACUCCAAUUUCUAUAGAACAUGAUUCUCAUGUUGACUCUGAUGGAUGGCUGCCAUGGCCUUUCUUUUCUUUUGUUUCUUGAAUCAUUUGAUCAAAGGUAGACAAGCUCGGUAUUUUGAAACCUUAAGGAGGCUGUAGGCAAGUCAUCCUUCGCUACCAAACAACGCUCUUUAUC